RNAcentral lists this unclassified non-coding RNA (183 nucleotides) under uncultured Colletotrichum. RNAcentral describes it as "sequence contains ITS1". The record is from RNAcentral. Lineage: Eukaryota; Fungi; Ascomycota; Sordariomycetes; Glomerellales; Plectosphaerellaceae.
CUGAGUUACCGCUCUACAACCCUUUGUGAACAUACCUCAACUGUUGCUUCGGCGGGCAGGAGGACAACCCCCCUCGGGGGGCGGUCCCCCUCCCGGCCGCGCCCUCACGGGCGUGGCGCCCGCCGGAGGAUACCAAACUCUAUUUUAACGACGUUUCUUCUGAGUGGCACAAGCAAAUAAUUA